AUUCAGAUAGCCAGAUGAAAAGAAAAAAGAGGGGAAAUGCAAAAAUUAAAGGCACUUUCUUUUUCAUGGAGACCUCCUCCUCCUUUCUCUGCUGUGCCUGCUCCCUCUGCUUCCCCUGCAUGUCCUUAUCCUUCUUUGCUUCUAACUGACUGUAGUGGCUCCCAGGCAAGGGGGAGGUGAUGAUCUUUUAGAGAAUAGAUUUCCCUGUAAAGGGAGAUGAAGGUACAACUUUCUACAACUACCUGCUCUAUUUGAGGAUACAAGUUUGCCUGGUGGCCUAGCCCUGAGUCUACUUUAUGUUUUAGACCAGAUUCCACCUCCAGGAGGUCUUAUCAUCUACAUACCACACAACACACAACUAGAAAGGCAGAAAUAAUAAAGAGACAUUAUCAUGGGAUGAUUGAGAACUUGGAUAAAAGACUGUGCUGUGGUUUGAAUGUGUCCUCCAAAUUUCAUGUGUUGGAAACUUAAUCCCCAAAUUCGUAUUUGAUAGUAUUUGGAGGUGGGGCCUUUGGGAGGCAGUUAGGAUUAGAUAAUUUCAGUAGAGUAGGGCCCCCAUGAUGGGACUGGUGGCUUUAUAAGAAGAGGAAGAGAGACCUUAGCUGACAUGCUGUUACUCUUUUGCUAUGUGAUACCUUCCAGCACGUUAUGUCACAGCAAGAAGGCCCUCACUAGAUGCUGGCUCCUUGAUGUACUUCCCAGCCUCCAGAAUCAUAAGUUUACAGCCCCAUGUGUGGAGAUGUGUACUGGCUACUGCAUGGAAUUUUGCAAUGAGCAGACUUUGAUCCUUUGAUGGAGCAAGGAUGUUGGUGCCCAGAAGAUUACCACAUCAGGGGUAUAGUGGCCAAGAGAAGUUGACUAUCCACCAUCCCCCACAAAUAUGGAUAAUCUGAGGAUAGAGGUUCCUUGAAACCUUUCUUGUAAAGAGGAACUGGAAGAUAUUGCAGAUGUUCACUCAUACGACAGAGAUAGGUCCUUUGACUAAGGAACAUGUGUUCUUCAUUUCUCCUGAAUCUCCUAUAAACCUACUGGUGAGAGACCUGCUGUGCAACUUAAUAGCUACUGGAUUCUGUACUGUGGAUGAAGUGUCUGUGGAGCCUUUUGGGAAAAGCCACCUGAUUUGGAUACUAUAUACUUCUGAAAGAAAAGAGGUAUGGCAAAGAGUGGCAGUCUCAUACUGUGCUGGAAAAGUCCCCAUAAGCUGAAACAAGUCACCUAAAUGUGAAGUAAAAAACUAUAAAUCUUUUAGAAUAAAACACAGGAGAAAAUCUUCAUGAGCUUAGGUUAGACAAAGAUUCUUAGAUACAACACCAAAAGCAUGACCCAUAAUAGAAAAAAUAAAUAAACUGAACUUCAUAAAAAAUGAAAAAAAAAUUGCAUUUCAAACUAUUCCAUUGAGGAAAUGAGAAGACAAGCCACAGACUGGGAGAAAAUAUUUGCAAAUCAUAUAUCUGAUAAAGGACUUGUAUCCAGAAUGCAUUAAGAACUCUGACAACUCAAUCAUAAUAAUGAUAAUAAUAGUCAGACAACUGAAUUUAAAAGUAAACAAAAGACUUGAAGGAGCAUUUAAUCAAAGGGAAUGACAAUAUUGGAUUAAUUUGAGAUAUAAAAAAUAGCUUAACAAAAAGAUGAGCCAUGGCUAUGUGUCAACAAUAUCCUUUGUUGAGAGCUCAAUUAAACAUAAUAAAACCAGUUAUAAAAGAAUGAGAAAAACAUGUAAUCCCCAUGCUUUGGAAGGCCAAGUUAGGAGGAUCAGUUGAGGUUAGGAGUUUGAGACCAGUCUGGGCAACAUAGUGAGACCUCGUCUCUACAAAAAAUAAAAAUAAAAAAAAAUUAGCCGGGCGUGAUGGCAGGUGCCUGUAGUCCUAGCUACUUGGGAGGCUGAGAUGGGAGGAUCACCUGAACCUUGGAGUUUGAGGUUACAGUGAGCCAUGAUCACAUCACUGCACUCAAGCCUGGGUAACAGAAUGAGACCCUGUCUCAAACAAACAAACAAACAAACAAACAAAAACAAAGGAUAAUUUAGAAGGGGUACUUACCCUGUAGUAAUCCCAUAUUUCCAGUAAAGAAGAAAGGUAAAUUUGAUAAAGGUGGGUAAGCUCUGUAUAGAUUUGUACUGAUUUUAGAGAAGUAAAUUAAUUUGUUUUCCCGUUAACACCUGUAGUUACUAAUCCUUCAUCUAUUCUGAUGUCAGUAUCGUCUGAUUUUUGUUUUUCUACGCUCUGCCCUCCCUUCCUCUCUCUCUCCCUCCCUCCCUCUCUCCUUCCCUUCCUCCCUUCUUUCCUUCCUUCCCUCCUUCCCUUCUUCCCUUUUUUCCUUCCUUCUUUUGUUCCUUCCCCCUCUUUCUUUUCUUGUAAGUGGACAAGUCUAAAUUCUUAUUUGCUCAUAAAGGAGUCUGAUGCUUAUGGCAGACAAUUCCUCAAGGGUUUUGAGACUCCCCCUACUGUUUUAUCUAGUCAUUUACAGAAACACUUAGAGAAAUUUGUUUCACCAGAAGGAUCUAUAAUUUUUCAAAAUAUAGAUGAUUUUGCUGGUAGCUUCAGAAACUAAGGAGCAAUGCAAAACGAACACUUUGACUUUGUUACAAUUCUUUGCUUCACAAGGGCAUAAGGCCUCACUAGAUAAAUUGCAACAUUGCUUUUCUGAGUAAACUAUUUAAGGCAUCUGUGUUCAGCUGUGGGUCUUAGAGUGGUACAAUCUAAGAGUCAUCUCAUUUUGCAGAUCUAACAGCCAAAUGUAGUGCUGUGGUUGGAAUGUUUAUGUCUCAUUCUCUCCCCAAUUCGUAUGUUGAACCCUAAUCUCCAAUGUGAUGGUAUUAGAAAUAGGGCCUUAGGAGGUGAUUAGGGUGUUGCCCUAAUGAAUGGGAUGAAUGCCAUUAUAAAAAAAGGCCUCAGAGAGCUUCCUGGCUCCUUCCAUCAUGUUAGGAUGCAACCAGAAGGCACCAUCUAUGAGGAAGUGAAUCCUUACCAGACACUGAAUUUACCAGCAUCUUGAUCUUGUACUUUCUAGCCUCCCAAAAUGUGAUUAAUAAAUGCCUGUUGUUUGUAAGCUACCCAGUUUAUGGUAUUUUGUUAUAACAGCCCAAAUGGACUGAGACACAGUUUUGGUACUAAUGCGGUAUUAAAGAGAGUAGAUUCCAGGUUUUGCAGAGUGGGCAAAACCUCUGAUGGAGCAACUCCAUGAUAAUCCUUCAGAUCUUCUGGUUUGGUUCCUAGAAUCUGAAGAGGCUUUUGAACAGCAGAAAUUGGUGAUAGCCUCUCUGUUAGCUUUGAAAUG
Molecule: non-coding RNA, 3276 nt
Organism: Chlorocebus sabaeus (green monkey)
Lineage: Eukaryota; Metazoa; Chordata; Mammalia; Primates; Cercopithecidae
Source: RefSeq, a predicted model, not a curated record